Long non-coding RNA from Amphiprion ocellaris (clown anemonefish), 1670 nucleotides. NCBI's taxonomy places the organism in Eukaryota, Metazoa, Chordata, Actinopteri, Pomacentridae. The record is from Ensembl.
UGAAAGGAUUUAGUUGCAUUAAUAACCUGAUAACAUUCAAAUUUUUAUUCCAGUCUUGGUUGGAAAUAGAAUCUCUGUAUUGAUUCAGGUAAAAACUGAACUUCACAGCAUGUUGAAGCAAAACAACCAGAUGAAAACUGUGAUGGCGUUGGAUUGUCAGACCGUAAUGUUGCAGCUCAAAGCAGCUUUUCUAGCUCAGUUCAUUCUGACAUUCAGCUAUGAAUCAACACAGCAGAUGGUGAUCCAUGCUGUGGAAGUCUCACAUCUCCUGAUUUAAUGGAGCUGCUUUGCACUUUUUACACUCUUUAUUCACCAACACUUUAUUUAAUAAAAGUCCCAUCUAGUUUUUAUGAGGAAUGUGAUGUUUUAAUUUCUCUGUGAAUAACUGCAGUCUAAUGCAACAGCUGGAGUUGUAACAUCUGUCCUGAUAUUGAUCAUGAAGUAUUGAUCAGAAUACUUAUGGUUAGUAGUCAUCCCUGAAGUUUUACAUUAAAAUCUUUACUUGUGUUGUGAACUUUGGUAAGAAGCAGAAACGUUAGCGUUGCCAUGGAUACAUGAGUGUUAAAUUCUGUCCAUGUUUCCAUUUUGGGAAAUGCAGUCCAGUUCCAGAAUGUGGAAGAAUUUAGUCUCACAAUCACAGACAACAAAUAUUAACUGAAAGUCGGGUUAUUGUUGUUUAUCAGCACAAUACAAAAAGAUUAAUGUUAGAAAUAUUCCAGUUAAGACUCUAGAAUACCAUGAUUUAUGUAUAUUUACCUCAAUAAUAUGAAUGUUCAGGUUAAGAUUGUACAGUGAUAUUUAUUAUGUAAGUUUAGCUGAUUAAAGUUUAUGACUGCACUAAAAUAUUAUUUAAAUUGACAUCAUUAUUAUAAUAUUUAGGGUCAGACCCUACAGUACUGCGAUUAAGAAAUCAAAUAUUCUAUAAAAUGUAAAUACACUGAACUCAUUUGAUAUAUUUAAGUGAGACUCUAGAAUAUUAUUUGACACAAAUCUAUCGAAAUCAAAAUUUUAAUAAUUUUCAUGCCAAACAUUUACUGGACUGAUUUAAACAUUAAAAUCACUCCUUUCUAAUCCUCUGCUGUACGUUCAAACCUGAGGCCUUAAAUAGAAACACACAGAGAACAAGUUCCUUCUUGAAGGAACUUCUGCAGAGUCCUGGUUCCAGAAUAUGAUGAUAGAAUUAUAGACAAACUUUAACAAAAGCCGCCUGAGAGUUUACAGGUUUUUAUGUUGGAUUUCUUCAGUAAUUUAAUGAGCGUUAUCAGCAAUCAUCAAGUGUUCAUUUAAUGAACUUCAUUUUCUAAAACAUCCAGAAUUGGAGCUCAUAUCUUUGGCAGCUGUAAAGUUUCUGCUCCUUCAAAGUUCACAACACAAUGAAUUAAUUCCUAAAACACUCUCAAUGCUGGAGAGCAUUUGUGAUGCUGAAGCAUUGAGCUCUGAACAUUUGAUCUGGAACAGGAAUUCAAUAACAGCAGCAUGAGCUUCAUUUCAGUCUGUAGCUGCUGAAUUCAUGGAUGAAUCAUCUGGCACUAGAGAGGAAGACCAUCAAACAUCCACGUCAGCUGAUGGAGGUCCAAGAGUCUCACCGAACAACCAACCUACAAAGUGAAGACCUCAAAUCUGAUUGGACGGCCUCCUAUUCAGCCACAUGUGUGAACAAAUGCCUCUGA